CACUCCUACGGGAGGCAGCAGUGGGGAAUAUUGGACAAUGGGCGCAAGCCUGAUCCAGCCAUGCCGCGUGAGUGAUGAAGGCCCUAGGGUUGUAAAGCUCUUUCACCGGUGAAGAUAAUGACGGUAACCGGAGAAGAAGCCCCGGCUAACUUCGUGCCAGCAGCCGCGGUAAUACGAAGGGGGCUAGCGUUGUUCGGAUUUACUGGGCGUAAAGCGCACGUAGGCGGACUAUUAAGUCAGGGGUGAAAUCCCGGGUCUCAACCCCGGAACUGCCUUUGAUACUAGUAGUCUUGAGUUCGAGAGAGGUGAGUGGAAUUCCGAGUGUAGAGGUGAAAUUCGUAGAUAUUCGGAGGAACACCAGUGGCGAAGGCGGCUCACUGGCUCGAUACUGACGCUGAGGUGCGAAAGCGUGGGGAGCAAACAGGAUUAGAAACCCCAGUAGUCCC
RNAcentral lists this ribosomal RNA (446 nucleotides) under uncultured organism. Its description in RNAcentral is "partial 16S ribosomal RNA". It matches the Rfam family "Bacterial small subunit ribosomal RNA", at positions 334 to 797 of the family's 1533-position model. The record is from RNAcentral.